RNAcentral lists this transfer RNA (65 nucleotides) under Lepophidium profundorum (blackrim cusk-eel). Its description in RNAcentral is "tRNA-Cys". The record is from RNAcentral. Lineage: Eukaryota; Metazoa; Chordata; Actinopteri; Ophidiiformes; Ophidiidae.
AGUCCCGGGGUGUUAUCAUAACGGAUUGCAAAUCCGGAGAAGCAGGCUAGCGCCUGCCGGGGCUU